UACAGUGUACCACACCAAGGAACUCCCACACUCUGAAUGAACAGCCCAGUGAUCAGGAGCUUUGAAUCAAUUCUUGGCACCUAACACUUUGUGAAGAGUCUGCUAAACUCCCUCUAUCAGAAAUCCCAGAAGACUGAGAACAGGUCAUCCUUGGAGCUGUAUCUGAAUGGAGUCAGGAUCUGGAAGCCCAAGUCUCCUUGUCAAUGUCCGCUUGGUUCCCAAGGACACCUGUAAAUGGAAGAGGGGCAU
Molecule: long non-coding RNA, 249 nt
Filed under: Pan troglodytes (chimpanzee)
Lineage: Eukaryota; Metazoa; Chordata; Mammalia; Primates; Hominidae
Description: lincRNA
Source: RNAcentral